GCUGGGUAUGGUGGUGCAUGCCUGUAGUCCCAGUUACUUGGGAGGCUAAGGUGGGAGGAUUGCUUGAGCCCAGAAGUUUGAGGCUGUAGUGAGCUGUGAUCUGUGAUCGCAUCACUGCACUCCAGCCUGGGCAACAGAGUGAGAUUCUGUCUCU
RNAcentral lists this non-coding RNA (154 nucleotides) under Gorilla gorilla gorilla (western lowland gorilla). The record is from Rfam by way of RNAcentral. Lineage: Eukaryota; Metazoa; Chordata; Mammalia; Primates; Hominidae.